This 62-nucleotide transfer RNA is filed under the name Cricetulus griseus (Chinese hamster). It matches the Rfam family "tRNA", at positions 6 to 65 of the family's 71-position model. Rfam says of the family: Transfer RNA (tRNA) molecules are approximately 80 nucleotides in length. Their secondary structure includes four short double-helical elements and three loops (D, anti-codon, and T loops). Lineage: Eukaryota; Metazoa; Chordata; Mammalia; Rodentia; Cricetidae. The record is from Rfam by way of RNAcentral.
UGUAGCUCAGUUGGCAGAGUGCUUGCCUAGCAUGCUUGAGGCCCUGGGUUCACUUCCCAGCA